AAGAGAAAGGAGAGAGUGAGAGUGGGAUGUCGUAUAAAGGAAGGAGGUGGCAGAACCCAGCUACCACUAUCUCCCUCUCUUUUCCCACAGUGCUGGAGAAGAAAGUGGAUGCCCAGUAUUGUUUUCUUCCUCCUUUCUCUGUCAUCUAUAUUAUUUUACUCCUUUUAAUCUCUAAAUGCUUAUCGUGUGGAGGUUAACCAAGAGUUGACCCAACCUUUGAAUCGCCAUGAAUCCC
RNAcentral lists this long non-coding RNA (235 nucleotides) under Carica papaya (papaya). RNAcentral's name for it is "long non-coding RNA (CPAP_LNC008278)". Lineage: Eukaryota; Viridiplantae; Streptophyta; Magnoliopsida; Brassicales; Caricaceae. The record is from RNAcentral.